This 851-nucleotide ribosomal RNA is filed under the name Trametes versicolor. RNAcentral's name for it is "partial large subunit ribosomal RNA". The record is from RNAcentral. Lineage: Eukaryota; Fungi; Basidiomycota; Agaricomycetes; Polyporales; Polyporaceae.
CUUAGYAASUSGSGARKKAAAGCGGGAAAAGCYCAAAUUUAAAAUCUGSCGGUCCUUGGCSUCCGAGUKUAGUCCUGGRGAAGCGUCUUCCGCGUGGACCGUGUACNAAGUCUCUUGGAACAGAGCSUCAUAGAGGGUGAGAAUCCCGUCUUUGACACGGACUACCAAUGCUUUGUGAUGCGCUCUCAAAGAGUCGCGUUGUUUGGGAAUGCAGCGCAAAAUGGGAGGUGAAUUCCUUCUAAAGCUAAAUAUUGGCGAGAGACCGAUAGCGAACAAGUACCGUGAGGGAAAGAUGAAAAGCACUUUGGAAAGAGAGUUAAACAGUACGUGAAAUUGCUAAAAGGGAAACGCUUGAAGUCAGUCGCGUCGUCCGGAACUCAGCUUUGCUUCGGCUUAGUGCACUUUCCGGUUGACGGGCCAGCAUCGAUUUUGACCGCUGGAAAAGGGCUGGAGGAAUGUGGCACCUUCGGGUGUGUUAUAGCCUUCAGUCGCAUACAGCGGUUGGGAUCGAGGAACGCAGCGCGCCUUAUGGCUGGGGUUCGCCCACAUUCGCGCUUAGGAUGCUGGCAUAAUGGCUUUAAMCGACCCGUCUUGAAACACGGACCAAGGAGUCUAACAUGCCUGCGAGUGUUUGGGUGGAAAACCCGAGCGCGUAAUGAAAGUGAAAGUUGAGACCUCUGUCGUGGAGGGCAUCGACGCCCGGACCUGACGUUUUCUGAAGGAUCCGCGGUAGAGCAUGUAUGUUGGGACCCGAAAGAUGGUGANCUAUGCCUGAAUAGGGUGAAGCCAGAGGAAACUCUGGKGGAGGCUCGKRGSSAUCKGACSUGSAAUCRAUCKKCAAAUUUGGGUAU